RNAcentral lists this ribosomal RNA (440 nucleotides) under uncultured bacterium. RNAcentral describes it as "partial 16S ribosomal RNA". It matches the Rfam family "Bacterial small subunit ribosomal RNA", at positions 338 to 795 of the family's 1533-position model. The record is from RNAcentral.
CCUACGGGAGGCAGCAGUAGGGAAUCUUUCACAAUGGGCGAGAGCCUGAUGGAGCAACGUCGCGUGCAGGAUGACGGCCUUCGGGUUGUAAACUGCCUUUUUAAGCGAGAAAUAUGAUGGUAACUUAUGAAUAAGGAUCGGCUCACUACGUGCCAGCAGCCGAGGUCAGACGGAGGAUUCAAGCGUUAUCCGGAUUUAUUGGGUGUAAAGGGUGCGUAGGCGGUCGGAUAAGUUAGAAGUGAAAUCCCGAGGCGCAACUUCGGAAUUGCGUGGGAUACUGUGCGGCUAGAGAGUAGUUGCGGUAGGCGGAAUGUAUGGUGUAGCGGUGAAAUGCUUAGAGAUCAUACAGAACACCGAUUGCGAAGGCAGCUUACCAAGCUACUUCUGACGUUGAGGCACGAAAGCGUGGGGAGCAAACAGGAUUAGAUACCCCGGUAGUC